Molecule: long non-coding RNA, 1604 nt
Organism: Ornithodoros turicata
Lineage: Eukaryota; Metazoa; Arthropoda; Arachnida; Ixodida; Argasidae
Exons: 4
Source: RefSeq, a predicted model, not a curated record
UUGGGGCGGAGCGAAGACGACGACGACUUAGGGCAUCUACUGAUUGCGGAACAAGAUUUGUUUCGUGAGCAUCUGCCUCACUUGGGCACCACGUCUUGCUUCUGUAAUUCUUCGACUAUGCUCUCUUAAUCUGAUGCCAACAUACUUUUGCAGGAUCACUUUCGCCAGUGAAAUUAUGUGAUCAGGCUCCUCUGCAUAGUGCUGGCACAGUGGUAGCUUGUCGCCAUGUGUUGGGAUGAAGUGAUUAAACGAUUUCAAAACAAUCGCCUGCACUACAAGCUUCACAGACCUCAGUUUCUCGAGCCGAAAGGUCUGCUCAGCGCAACACAGCAGACGUGUAACAAAGGAGGAUGGUUUAACCAGCCCUCCAUUGUCCCUGAGCAUGAUGAGAACACUUGACGUCUCGUCAUCUAGGAGUGUGUCCAAACAACCAUUACAGGUGAGCUUUGAGGAGACAAUUCUGACAACAUAUCCUCCAAUAUAGGCAACAAUGUCCUCGCUGAACCUGCUGAGUCUGGAUGAUUCCCCGUAGUCAUGUAGAAGGGCACAGAUGUUGUCCUCUGCAGGAACUUCUGCAGUGGAAGCCUCCUCACCUGGACUGCCCUCCCUUCGCGGCUUGCCCUGGUGACCGAGUGUCGCUAUGCCUUCCACUGUAGGCGCGACAUUUGCAGAGCUUGGGGCCUGAACUUCAGCGUGUAUCAGAAGCUUCCUGUAGGCAUGACGGAAUUGUGAAGCUGAUGAGUUGUUACUCCAUCCGCCUCUUUGCCUGAUGCUGCUGAAGAACAGUUCCAAGUGCUCCUGGCUGAGGCACCUCUACAUGUUACCUGCAUGCGCCCGCCUGGAACAGCGCUUCUGCCAGCUGUGCAACAUAAUUUUAGCGUUAAGGCCAAGCUGAUGACUAACAUGCGUCUCCCAUGCUGAGCAGCUAGCUCCCCGGAUGGAACUCGCAGCGUCAUCAUCUUUGACGACAAUUGGCCACAGUCAUAAAAAUGAAAGGCCUACUCAUCUACGUCGACAAUGAACGAAGCGGUUGCGUCACUUCCUUCAAAUUCAGUCCACCCCAGGAGCCGUGCGUGGGUCAGGGCUUUGCUCACGGAUGAACUUAGAGCCUGCGCUGCAAGGCGGACCUUCAUGAUCUGGCGGCCAAACUCAAUAUGGGAUCUGGGUCAGUUGCAGCCGUCGACGGACACCACGCAGCAGGUACUGGUUCUUCUCUCGAAGUUGUCUCAUUCCUAUUCCUGGCGUUGUUUUGCUGUGGUAGGUGUGCUCCUUGUGACCCUUCGGUGUGAUCGGGCUGCCCUUAGUAUCUGUGUUGCUCACAGACACCUGCAAAGUUGCCUGUUGGUUAAGGACAGCAUUCCCCAAUAUUUUGCACCUUAAAAUUACCGGUUGUCGUAUAGGCGUGGUUUCGUUGCAUGUUUCCGGUUGCUGCUGCCCUGCUCUGGGGUCAGGGGACAAAGCAUCUAGAGAAAUGUCCUCAAGUCAUUGUGUUUUGGGGCCUGGGCUUUCCUGCUGACACUCCUGAAAUUGUAGUAGGAACAGUUGCUGCUCAGAGGAAUUGGAAUGCAUUGUUUCGCAGUAUAGUCACAAAAGUAAUUAGUCUG